UGCAUCAUCGACCGACCUGUUCUACUCUUAGAAAGGUUUGAGUAAGAGCGCACCUGUUGGGACCCGAAAGAUGGUGAACUAUGCCUGAAUAGGGUGAAGCCAGCGGAAACACUGGUGGAAGCUCGUAGCGAUUCUGACGUGCAAAUCGAUCGUCGAAUUUGGGUAUAGCGGCGAAAGACUAAUCGAACCAUCUAGUAGCUGGUUCCCUCCGAAGUUUCCCUUAGGAUAGCUGGAGCUCGGAUGCAGU
Molecule: ribosomal RNA, 247 nt
Filed under: Parasphaerasclera kimberleyensis
Lineage: Eukaryota; Metazoa; Cnidaria; Anthozoa; Scleralcyonacea; Parasphaerascleridae
Description: partial 28S ribosomal RNA
Rfam family: Eukaryotic large subunit ribosomal RNA
Source: RNAcentral